Eucalyptus grandis is the source of this 1710-nucleotide long non-coding RNA. RefSeq lists it as uncharacterized. The record is from RefSeq and is a predicted model, not a curated record. Lineage: Eukaryota; Viridiplantae; Streptophyta; Magnoliopsida; Myrtales; Myrtaceae. The transcript has 2 exons.
UCGGGAAAACUCGCGGUAUUCCCUGAACCAACCCAAGCUCAACCCUUCCCCAUUUCAACCUUCACUCAUGCAGGAUUCACUCAAAACACUUGUAUGAUCCUCUUGUUCCCGUGUCAAACCCUGUUUUUUUCUGAACAGGAUCUCGCGAGCCCCAAGAAAACAGUCCGUCUCCAAGAACGUAGAGCGGCAGUGGAAGGCGGUGGUCGCCGGAAGCCUCGCCUGAACAGAUAUGCUCUGGGUGGUGCCGUCUUGGCCUCCACCAACUCUAUUUUGCUGGGCUAUGAUAUUAGGGUGAUGAAUGGGGCGGUGCUAUUCAUCAGAGAGAGCCUCAUGAUCACACCAACCCAGGUUGAGAUCCUGUUGGGUUCGCUCGAUGUGGUCUUGCUGAUUGGAUCUCUCGCCUCUGGCCGGACCUCCGAUUGGAUCGGCUGGUGAUACACGAUAGUCCUUGCAGCCUUCACGUUCCUAAUUGGUGCACUUCUGAUGGGUCUUGCUCCAUCCUUCAUCUUCCUAAUGGCUGGGAGGGUGGUCGCAGGGAUUGGUGUCGGGUAUGUCCUCUUGAUCGCCCCAGUCUACGCUGCCGAGAUCUCUCCAGCAAUGACCCAGGGAUUCCUGUCUUCGUUGCCCGAAGUCUUUAUCAAUGUUGGGAUUUUACUUGGGUAUGUAUCCAACUAUGCCUUACAGGCCUACCAGUUGAUAUAAGUUGGAGGCUCAUGCUUGGGUUAGGCGGAGUGCCGGCAAUCACGAUCAGGGCAGGCGUGAUGAUGAUACCUGAGUCACCGAGGUGGCUGGUGAUGGAGGGCAGAUUCGAAGAAGCAGAGAGGGUGCUGAUCAAGACAUCAGAAGAUGAGGUAGUAGUUGAAUUGAGGCUAAAUCAAAUGAAGACCAACAUAGGGGUUGAUCGAUCCACGGGCCUGCUUUGGCCCGAUGGCACGGGCAGGGCUUUGGAAGGAGGUCCUCUGGAGGCGCAUCCGCCAGAUUCUCAUAGCAGCCAUUGGACUUAAAUUCUUCAUGCAGGCGUUAGGAAUGCCGCCGCCGUGUACUUUAGUCCAGAAGUCUUCCAAGAUGCUGGGAUUAGCAAUAACCAACAGCUUUUAGGGGUGACUAUCGUGAUGGGGGCUUGCCAAGACAUUCUUUGCCGUUGCUUCGGCUCUUUUCUCGGACCAUUUUGGGAGGAGGCCUCUCUUGAAGCUGGGCUCGGCUAGAAUGGCAGUCUCCACAGCAGGUCUGGGCCUGGGCUUGAAGUUCCUCAAGCGAUCCGGGAGCAAGCCGACGCGGGCCAUCAUGCAGUCGUGGAGUCUGUCUGUGCGGACAUCUCGUUCUUUUCAAUAGGGCUCGGGCCCAUCACAUGGUUCUACUCGUUCGAGAUACUCCCGACGAGGCUGCGGGCCCAAGGCAUGAGCCUGGCCAUAGCGGUGAACCAGGUGGUGAGCAGGGAGGUGGCAAUGUCGUUUUUCAGCAUUUCGAGAGAGAUAACGUUUGGGGGCAUGUUCUUUUUGCUUGCAGGAAUCAUGAGUUGGCGACUAUUUUUUUUUUCUUUCUUGCCUGAGACCAAGGGCAAGAGCUUGGAAGAGACUUGGGCUCUCUUUGAGAAUGAAGACCCUGCAAGCUCACAAAAUUGAGAUUGAUCAAGCGUAGCUUUUCAUGUAAGAAGCUCCUUGGGCUUGGUUUUGCAGCUAUAAAUGUGAAUGGAAUAUACUCCGGCGUUCA